RNAcentral lists this ribosomal RNA (749 nucleotides) under Streptomyces sp. 516(2010). RNAcentral's name for it is "bacterial SSU rRNA". It matches the Rfam family "Bacterial small subunit ribosomal RNA", at positions 87 to 847 of the family's 1533-position model. Lineage: Bacteria; Bacillati; Actinomycetota; Actinomycetes; Kitasatosporales; Streptomycetaceae. The record is from RNAcentral.
GGGGAUUAGUGGCGAACGGGUGAGUAACACGUGGGCAAUCUGCCCUGCACUCUGGGACAAGCCCUGGAAACGGGGUCUAAUACCGGAUACUCACUGCCUUGGGCAUCCUUGGUGGUGGAAAGCUCCGGCGGUGCAGGAUGAGCCCGCGGCCUAUCAGCUAGUUGGUGAGGUAAUGGCUCACCAAGGCGACGACGGGUAGCCGGCCUGAGAGGGCGACCGGCCACACUGGGACUGAGACACGGCCCAGACUCCUACGGGAGGCAGCAGUGGGGAAUAUUGCACAAUGGGCGAAAGCCUGAUGCAGCGACGCCGCGUGAGGGAUGACGGCCUUCGGGUUGUAAACCUCUUUCAGCAGGGAAGAAGCGAAAGUGACGGUACCUGCAGAAGAAGCGCCGGCUAACUACGUGCCAGCAGCCGCGGUAAUACGUAGGGCGCAAGCGUUGUCCGGAAUUAUUGGGCGUAAAGAGCUCGUAGGCGGCUUGUCACGUCGGUUGUGAAAGCCCGGGGCUUAACCCCGGGUCUGCAGUCGAUACGGGCAGGCUAGAGUUCGGUAGGGGAGAUCGGAAUUCCUGGUGUAGCGGUGAAAUGCGCAGAUAUCAGGAGGAACACCGGUGGCGAAGGCGGAUCUCUGGGCCGAUACUGACGCUGAGGAGCGAAAGCGUGGGGAGCGAACAGGAUUAGAUACCCUGGUAGUCCACGCCGUAAACGGUGGGCACUAGGUGUGGGCAACAUUCCACGUUGUCCGUGCC